Scylla paramamosain (green mud crab) is the source of this 2306-nucleotide long non-coding RNA. RefSeq lists it as uncharacterized. NCBI's taxonomy places the organism in Eukaryota, Metazoa, Arthropoda, Malacostraca, Decapoda, Portunidae. The record is from RefSeq and is a predicted model, not a curated record. The transcript is spliced from 3 exons.
AAGUCUUUCACCAACUACAUCAUUUUUUUCGGUUUCUUUUGUGCAUUAGGAGUGAUGGAAUUGGUUCAGUCAUUCCAGUUAAUUUUUUCAGUAUUACGAAUUGUUCAGGUGGUCGAAUGUUCCAGCUAUCGGUUUACUCCAGCCACCCUCACUGAGCAGAUAUGAAAACAAGAGCCGCUGAGAGGUUUGAACUAUUCGUCUGCUGCUUUUAGUGUUUGCGGUGCUGUUCCAAGUUGUUCUCUUCGCUUAUUCCAAGGCCAUCAGUCGUGGCAAGAACCAGUAAAAUCAUACAACUUCAGGCAUUUAAGUACUUCAACAACUCGAUUACUCUUUUUACUGGCAGUGGUAGUGUUCCAGAGAGAGAGAGAGAGAGAGAGAGAGAGAGAGAGAGAGAGAAUUAUUAUUAUUAUUAUUAUUAUUAUUAUUAUUAUUAUUAGUGUUAUUAUUAUUAUUUAAUAGAAAAAAAGUAGAUUUGUUGUUUACAUGAAUACAUAAAAAAAAAAACUUUAAUUAUUUAAUAGAAAUAAAAAAAAAAUACGAAGAUUUGUUGUUUACAUGCAUACAUUAAAAAAAACUUUAAUUAUUUAAUAGAAAUAAAAAAAAAUACGUAGAUUUGUUGUUUACAUGAAUACAUUAAAAAAAAAACUUUAAUUAUUUAAUAGAAAUAAAAAAAAUACGUAGAUUUGUUGUUUACAUGAAUACAUUAAAAAAAAACUUUACUUACCCUAUUUUAUAAUACACAUUUCAUACAAAAAACAGACCAUUGUGUUCACCUGCACCACGACGCACUACCAAGCAUGAGAAGCCAAAACUAAAAUAAAUAAAUAAAUAAAUAAAUAAAUAAAUAACUGCCGAUGUUAAAAUAUUUCAUUCAAAAACUUGAUAACUGUACUUGAUGUCAGUGGCGUUUGAAAAAAUAUAUAUUUCUCUUACACCACAACAUUCUAUUAAAGUCGAAGGCAGGAACCACAACAGUAAAAACUGACUGUAGACAUGAGAACAACUCCAAGAACUCGAAUACUUCUUUUAAUGUCAGUAGUGUUUGAAGAAUGCAUGCUUCACCUCCACAGCCACAUUUCAUUAACCUCGCAGGGGGAAAAAAAAGACAAUUUCUGGAACUCAUUACUCUUUUUGUCAUUAGCGACUAAGAAAAUAAUCGACGACACUUACACUGCGUCCUAUCAAGGUUGGUGGAGAAGCCAUUGGACUAAAGAAAACCAAGAGUCCACUUCAUUACACCUCUCCAGUCAGUGAUACCUUUGGAAAUUCUCAACUUUUCACCACAAAACGUUCCAUCAAGAAGCAGUUGGCCAAAAUAAUAAUGUCAGAAGUAAGACAAAGCUUUGAAGAAAGAACAUCUGUCAUAAAGUGUUACUGGAGGCACGAAAAUGUCAAAGAAGUGCAAAGACAAUUCAGAAGACACUUUGACAGGGAUCCACCCAGGUGACGCACCAUUGCUCGCAUCACAGCUAAAUUUGCAUCAACCAGCAGCAGCAGCAGCAGCAGCAUGUCAGUAGUAGCAGGAGUAGUGAAUGGUCACUCGUAUGUGGUGACUACUUGGACUAUUAGGCCGCCCUUGUAGUGUGCUGGACUAUUGGUCAACAAGGAGCCCUGAAAGUUACGUGGUACAACUAUUUCGGCGAUAGUAAUGGCUGUAAGUAGUAGUAGUAGUUGUAGUAAUAGUAGUAGUAAUAGUAGUUAUGCGUGUAAUGUCAAUAUGGUCCAUUUUGUAACUGUAAUUGGAAAAAUUCUCGACUUUGUGUUUCUUAAAGGCGUGACGUAAUUAGAGAAAACGUAUGUAUUUUAAGGGACACUAGCCUGUACUUCAUUAUUUCUGUUUAUUGCUAUUAUAGGAGUUUCUUGAUAGUUUUACUUGUAUAUACUAUUUAAAUCUACUAUUCUAUUUAUUAUGUGUAAGUGGGAGAUGUCAGAGAAAGAGCCAUAUUUAUAAUUUGCAUUUGUAAGGUCAAUAAGGUCUAUUUUAUUAAGUAAAUUUAUAAGAUGCUCGACCUUAUGUUUCUUAAAUGAGUGACGUAAUAUAGAGAAAACGUGUCUUUUAAGGAACACUAACCUAUACUUCAUUAAUGUGGUUAUUGUUGUUAUACGAGUUUUCCGGUGUAUAUACUAUUUAAAUCUACUAUUUUGUGUUGUAUAAUACUAUGUUUGAAUGGUAGAACUAAGAGAAAGAGUCAUAUUUGUAAUGUUUACAUGUAAGGUCAAUAUGGUCUAGUCUGUAACUGUAAUUUGAAGGAUUUUCAACCUUUUGUUUCUUAGUAAAUGACGUAACUAGAAAAAACGAAUCUUCU